RNAcentral lists this ribosomal RNA (446 nucleotides) under Brucella melitensis. RNAcentral describes it as "bacterial SSU rRNA". It matches the Rfam family "Bacterial small subunit ribosomal RNA", at positions 1 to 499 of the family's 1533-position model. The record is from RNAcentral. Lineage: Bacteria; Pseudomonadati; Pseudomonadota; Alphaproteobacteria; Hyphomicrobiales; Brucellaceae.
UUGGAGAAUUUGAUCCUGGCUCAGAACGAACGCUGGCGGCAGGCUUAACACAUGCAAGUCGAGCGCCCCGCAAGGGGAGCGGCAGACGGGUGAGUAACGCGUGGGAACGUACCAUUUGCUACGGAAUAACUCAGGGAAACUUGUGCUAAUACCGUAUGUGCCCUUCGGGGGAAAGAUUUAUCGGCAAAUGAUCGGCCCGCGUUGGAUUAGCUAGUUGGUGGGGUAAAGGCUCACCAAGGCGACGAUCCAUAGCUGGUCUGAGAGGAUGAUCAGCCACACUGGGACUGAGACACGGCCCAGACUCCUACGGGAGGCAGCAGUGGGGAAUAUUGGACAAUGGGCGCAAGCCUGAUCCAGCCAUGCCGCGUGAGUGAUGAAGGCCCUAGGGUUGUAAAGCUCUUUCACCGGGAAGAUAAUGACGGUAACCGGAGAAGAAGCCGGCWYCU